Non-coding RNA from Camellia sinensis, 493 nucleotides. The record is from RefSeq and is a predicted model, not a curated record. NCBI's taxonomy places the organism in Eukaryota, Viridiplantae, Streptophyta, Magnoliopsida, Ericales, Theaceae.
CUCUCCCUCUCCGCCCACCCUCCCACUCGCUGCCUCUCCCCCUCUCCCCCCUUUCGCAACCCUCCCACUCACUUUCUGAAGGCUAGGGUUUCCGAUUAAGAACCGCGAUACCUCUCUGAACCCCGAUUGGAGCUCUCCGGUAGAGCUACUUCAGAGCUACACCAAACCUGAGGCUUCUAUCUGUGCAAGCCCAGGUAUCUGAGUAAACUUCUUCCGGAUUUCGCACCAAAUCAACCAGAAUCAUUGCAAGAUGUUCUCAGUGAUGUCCAGUCAAAGAUCUUACCAGGGGUAACCCAUUGGCAAAGCCCGGAUUAUUUUGUAUAUUUUCCCUCUAAUAGUAGUAUCACUGGAUUUUUAGGAGAAAUGCUCAGUGCUGGUAUUAACAUGGUGGGUUUUAGUUGGAUAACUUCUCCUGCAGCAACAGAACUUGAAAUGAUUGUCCUGGAUUGGCUUGCUAAACUUCUUAAGCUUCCUGAUGAUUUCCUUUCAACAG